AUCUGGCUAACUAGUCCCAAAUAGGACGAAACGCCUGUCCUGGAU
This is a non-coding RNA of Schistosoma rodhaini, 45 nucleotides long. Lineage: Eukaryota; Metazoa; Platyhelminthes; Trematoda; Strigeidida; Schistosomatidae. The record is from Rfam.